AUUGAACGCUAGCGGCAUGCUUUACACAUGCAAGUCGAACGGAGUGGCGGACUGGUGAGUAAUAUUUCGGAACGUGCCUAGUAGCGGGGUAUAACUACUCUAAACAUUGGCUAAUACCGCAUACCAUAGGAGCGGCCCAAAUCGGAUUAGGUAGUUGGUGGGGUAAAGGCUCACCAAGGCAACGAUCCCUAGCUGGUCUGAGAGGACGACCAGCCACACUGGAACUGAGACACGGCCCAGACUCCGACGGGAGGCAGCAGUGGGGAAUAGUGGACAAUGGGGGAAAGCCUGAUGCAGCCAUGCCGCGUGUAUGAAGAAGGCCUUCGGGUUGUAAAGUACUUUUGGCAAAGAAGCGGUAUCUGCAGAAUAAGCACCGGCUAACUACGUGCCAGCAGCCGCGGUAAUAC
This 407-nucleotide ribosomal RNA is filed under the name uncultured bacterium. Its description in RNAcentral is "partial 16S ribosomal RNA". It matches the Rfam family "Bacterial small subunit ribosomal RNA", at positions 30 to 526 of the family's 1533-position model. The record is from RNAcentral.